CCUACGGGAGGCAGCAGUGAGGAAUCUUGGUCAAUGGACGAGAGUCUGAACCAGCCAAGCAGCGUGAAGGAUGACUGCCCUAUGGGUUGUAAACUUCUUUUAUAAAGGAAUAAAACGACGCUCGUGUGCCUUUUUGCAUUUACUUUAUGAAUAAGGAUCGGCUAACUCCGUGCCAGCAGCCGCGGUAAUACGGAGGAUGCGAGCGUUAGCCGGAUUUGUUGGGUUUAAAGGGAGCGUAGAUGGGUUGUUAAGUCAGUUGUGAAUGUUUGCGGCUCAACCGUAAAAUUGCAAUUGAUACUGGAAGUCUUGAGUACAGAUGAGGUAGGUGGAAUUCGUGGUGUAGCGGUGAAAUGCGUAGAUAGCACGAAGAACACCGAUUGCGAAGGCAGCUUACUAAUCUGUGACUGACAUUGAUGCUCGAAAGUGUGGGUAUCAAACAGGAUUAGAUACCCCAGUAGUC
Molecule: ribosomal RNA, 460 nt
Filed under: uncultured bacterium
Lineage: Bacteria
Description: partial 16S ribosomal RNA
Rfam family: Bacterial small subunit ribosomal RNA
Source: RNAcentral